CAGCAGCCGCGGUAAUACGUAGGGUGCAAGCGUUAAUCGGAAUUACUGGGCGUAAAGCGUGCGCAGGCGGUUUGUUAAGACAGAUGUGAAAUCCCCGGGCUCAACCUGGGAACUGCAUUUGUGACUGGCAAGCUAGAGUGUGGCAGAGGGGGGUGGAAUUCCGCGUGUAGCAGUGAAAUGCGUAGAUAUGCGGAGGAACACCGAUGGCGAAGGCAGCCCCCUGGGCCAACACUGACACUCAUGCACGAAAGCGUGGGGAGCAAACAGGAUUAGAUACCCCGGUAGUCCCUGUCUCUUAUAA
Molecule: ribosomal RNA, 301 nt
Filed under: uncultured bacterium
Lineage: Bacteria
Description: partial 16S ribosomal RNA
Rfam family: Bacterial small subunit ribosomal RNA
Source: RNAcentral